GAUGAACGCUGGCGGCGUGCUUAACACAUGCAAGUCGAACGGAAAGGCCAGUGCUUGCACUGGUGCUCGAGUGGCGAACGGGUGAGUAACACGUGGGUGAUCUGCCCUGCACUUUGGGAUAAGCCUGGGAAACUGGGUCUAAUACCAGAUAGGACCAUGCUUUGGAUGGUGUGGUGGAAAGUUUUUUCGGUGUGGGAUGAGCUUGCGGCCUAUCAGCUUGUUGGUGGGGUAAUGGCCUACCAAGGCGUCGACGGGUAGCCGGCCUGAGAGGGUGUACGGCCACAUUGGGACUGAGAUACGGCCCAGACUCCUACGGGAGGCAGCAGUGGGGAAGAUUGCACAAGGGGCGCAAGCCUGAUGCAGCGACGCCGCGUGGGGGAUGACGGCCUUCGGGUUGUAAACUCCUUUCGCAACUGACGAAGCUUUUUGUGACGGUAGGUGGAGAAGAAGCACCGGCUAACUACGUG
This 467-nucleotide ribosomal RNA is filed under the name uncultured bacterium. RNAcentral's name for it is "partial 16S ribosomal RNA". It matches the Rfam family "Bacterial small subunit ribosomal RNA", at positions 28 to 507 of the family's 1533-position model. The record is from RNAcentral.